RNAcentral lists this ribosomal RNA (253 nucleotides) under uncultured bacterium. RNAcentral's name for it is "partial 16S ribosomal RNA". It matches the Rfam family "Bacterial small subunit ribosomal RNA", at positions 524 to 776 of the family's 1533-position model. The record is from RNAcentral.
UACGUAGGCAGCAAGCGUUGUUCGGAGUUACUGGGCGUAAAGAGUGCGUAGGCGGUCCUGUAAGUUUGGUGUGAAAUCUCCCGGCUCAACUGGGAGGGUGCGCCGAAGACUGCAGGGCUUGAGUAUGGGAGAGGUAAGCGGAAUUCCUGGUGUAGCGGUGAAAUGCGUAGAUAUCUGCAGGAACACCCGUGGCGAAGGCGGCUGGCUGGACCGCAACUGACGCUGAGGAACGAAAGCUAGGGGAGCAAACGGG